UAAGGAAUAUUGGUCAAUGGACGCAAGUCUGAACCAGCCAUGCCGCGUGAAGGAGGAAGGUCCUCUGGAUUGUAAACUUCUUUUAUCUGGGACGAAAACGGGAUUUUUAUCUCAAUUGACGGUACCAGAGGAAUAAGCACCGGCUAACUCCGUGCCAGCAGCCGCGGUAAUACGGAGGGUGCGAGCGUUAUCCGGAUUUACUGGGUUUAAAGGGUGCGUAGGUGGGCUUAUAAGUCAGUGGUGAAAUCUCCGAGCUUAACUUGGAAACUGCCGUUGAUACUAUAGGUCUUGAAUUAUCUGGAGGUAAGCGGAAUAUGUCAUGUAGCGGUGAAAUGCUUAGAUAUGACAUAGAACACCAAUUGCGAAGGCAGCUUACUACAUAUAAAUUGACGCUGAGGCACGAAAGCGUGGGGAUCAAAC
RNAcentral lists this ribosomal RNA (420 nucleotides) under uncultured bacterium. Its description in RNAcentral is "bacterial SSU rRNA". It matches the Rfam family "Bacterial small subunit ribosomal RNA", at positions 355 to 773 of the family's 1533-position model. The record is from RNAcentral.